RNAcentral lists this ribosomal RNA (584 nucleotides) under uncultured actinomycete. RNAcentral describes it as "bacterial SSU rRNA". It matches the Rfam family "Bacterial small subunit ribosomal RNA", at positions 301 to 896 of the family's 1533-position model. The record is from RNAcentral. Lineage: Bacteria; Bacillati; Actinomycetota; Actinomycetes; Actinomycetales.
CGACCGGCCACACUGGGACUGAGACGCGGCCCAGACUCCUACGGGAGGCAGCAGUGGGGAAUAUUGCGCAAUGGGCGAAAGCCUGACGCAGCGACGCCGCGUGGGGGAUGAAGGCCUUCGGGCUGUAAACCCCUUUCAGCAGGGACGAAGCGAAAGCGACGGUACCUGCAGAAGAAGCGCCGGCUAACUACGUGCCAGCAGCCGCGGUAACACGUAGGGCGCAAGCGUUGUCCGGAAUUAUUGGGCGUAAAGAGCUCGUAGGCGGUCUGUUGCGUCCGCUGUGAAAACUCGGGGCUUAACCCCGUAGCCUGCAGUGGAUACGGGCAGACUAGAGGUAGGUAGGGGAGAAUGGAAUUCCCGGUGUAGCGGUGAAAUGCGCAGAUAUCGGGAGGAACACCGGUGGCGAAGGCGGUUCUCUGGGCCUUACUGACGCUGAGGAGCGAAAGCGUGGGGAGCAAACAGGAUUAGAUACCCUGGUAGUCCCCGCCGUAAACGUUGGGCGCUAGGUGUGGGAUCCUUCCACGGAUUCCGUGCCGCAGCUAACGCAUUAAGCGCCCCGCCUGGGGAGUACGGCCGCAAGGCUA